RNAcentral lists this long non-coding RNA (324 nucleotides) under Nicotiana benthamiana. Its description in RNAcentral is "long non-coding RNA (NBEN_LNC021617)". Lineage: Eukaryota; Viridiplantae; Streptophyta; Magnoliopsida; Solanales; Solanaceae. The record is from RNAcentral.
CUUUUAUGCCACUGAAAUGCUGUCUCACCCUCCCCGGGAACAUGAUCUACAACAUUCCCCUGCAGCGCCACAACUCUCCGGCAUUUCUUGCAGCGGUAAACUCGGGCAGGAGUUGUUUCCUUAGUCAAGGACACAUCCGCAUCUGAGGGAAUGCUUUCUGCUGCCGAGCCUGGAUCAGCCCCAAACUUAGAGGUGUCUAUUCUUACGGUAAACUCGGGCAGGAGCUGUUUCCUUAGUCAAGGACACAUCCACAUCUGAGGGAAUGUUUUCCGUUGCCGAGCCUGGAUCCGCCCCAAACUUAGAGGUAUCUAUUCUUUCUCCACG